UACGGAGGGAGCUAGCGUUGUUCGGAAUUACUGGGCGUAAAGCGCACGUAGGCGGCUUUGUAAGUUAGAGGUGAAAGCCCGGGGCUCAACUCCGGAACUGCCUUUAAGACUGCAUCGCUUGAAUCCAGGAGAGGUAAGUGGAAUUCCGAGUGUAGAGGUGAAAUUCGUAGAUAUUCGGAAGAACACCAGUGGCGAAGGCGGCUCACUGGACUGGUAUUGACGCUGAGGUGCGAAAGCGUGGGGAGCAAACAGG
RNAcentral lists this ribosomal RNA (253 nucleotides) under uncultured bacterium. Its description in RNAcentral is "partial 16S ribosomal RNA". It matches the Rfam family "Bacterial small subunit ribosomal RNA", at positions 524 to 776 of the family's 1533-position model. The record is from RNAcentral.